RNAcentral lists this ribosomal RNA (175 nucleotides) under uncultured bacterium. RNAcentral's name for it is "partial 16S ribosomal RNA". It matches the Rfam family "Bacterial small subunit ribosomal RNA", at positions 1325 to 1500 of the family's 1533-position model. The record is from RNAcentral.
GCCGGAAUUGCUAGUAAUGGCAGGUCAGCAUACUGCCGUGAAUACGUUCCCGGGCCUUGUACACACCGCCCGUCACACCAUGAGAGUUGGGGAUACCCGAAGCCUGUGAGCUAACUUUUAGAGGCAGCAGUCGAAGGUAGAAUCAAUGAUUGGGGUGAAGUCGUAACAAGGUAAC